This 468-nucleotide ribosomal RNA is filed under the name uncultured bacterium. RNAcentral describes it as "partial 16S ribosomal RNA". It matches the Rfam family "Bacterial small subunit ribosomal RNA", at positions 28 to 507 of the family's 1533-position model. The record is from RNAcentral.
GACGAACGCUGGCGGCGUGCUUAACACAUGCAAGUCGAACGGAAAGGCCCUGCUUUUGUGGGGUGCUCGAGUGGCGAACGGGUGAGUAACACGUGAGUAACCUGCCCUUGACUUUGGGAUAACUUCAGGAAACUGGGGCUAAUACCGGAUAGGAGCUCCUGCUGCAUGGUGGGGGUUGGAAAGUUUCGGCGGUUGGGGAUGGACUCGCGGCUUAUCAGCUUGUUGGUGGGGUAGUGGCUUACCAAGGCUUUGACGGGUAGCCGGCCUGAGAGGGUGACCGGCCCAAUGGGGCCUGAGAUAGGCCCCAGACUCCACCGGGGGCCAGCAGGGGGGAAUAUUGCACAAUGGGCGGAAGCCUGAUGCAGCAACGCCGCGUGCGGGAUGACGGCCUUCGGGUUGUAAACCGCUUUCGCCUGUGACGAAGCGUGAGUGACGGUAAUGGGUAAAGAAGCACCGGCUAACUACGUG